CAGAGCUCAACACACGUGUUGAAUGCAGGGAGAGAGAAUGAACGAAGACCAGCUGUGAGAAAUGAGAGGAAGAAUGAGGCUCAGACUGGUUAAGUGACCUGCCUGGUGUGAGAGCUGGGAUCCACACUCCGACAUGCUUUCCAAGACCACGACUCGCCCUGUGUCAAAGGUCAAGCAGCCAGCCUUGGGAAUCAGGAAGCAACGAGGCUCCUUCCUAAGCCCCAUCACUUAGGGAACGAAGACUUCAACGGUGGAAGGUUCCCGUGGUGCCCCAGCGCCUCCAAGCUCCGGAGGGCAGCACCUCCACACGGCAGGCAGAGCAUCCUUCCUCUUGGGCCUCACUCCAUCCUGUGAUGGUCCAGGCUUCCGGGCGGAAGAGCACAGAGGACUUCCUUCCAUGAGGGCCUCUCCACCCUUCCUCUGAGAGGUGGCCCUGCAGUCUUCAACACGGAGAAAGUCAGGGGGCUGAGGGUGAGUGAAAGGCCAUUUCCUUUGCCCGGCCUGUCACCUGCUCCAGGAGAGGUAGGUGGCUCUCCUCACAGUCCUGGAGAUGCCUGCCCGGACUCUGGCCCAGGUGGCCUUCCUGAUGCGCCGGCUGAGAGUGCUGGGACCUGUCAGAGCAGCUGACACCUGCUUAUUCAGUCACCCUGAGAAAAACCUAGAAUCAGCUUCAGAUACGGAUUGCACGGUG
Molecule: long non-coding RNA, 691 nt
Filed under: Equus asinus (donkey)
Lineage: Eukaryota; Metazoa; Chordata; Mammalia; Perissodactyla; Equidae
Description: lncRNA (ENSEASG00005031651.1)
Source: RNAcentral